Molecule: ribosomal RNA, 507 nt
Filed under: uncultured Stenotrophomonas sp.
Lineage: Bacteria; Pseudomonadati; Pseudomonadota; Gammaproteobacteria; Lysobacterales; Lysobacteraceae
Description: bacterial SSU rRNA
Rfam family: Bacterial small subunit ribosomal RNA
Source: RNAcentral
CGGCAGCACAGUAAGAGCUUGCUCUUACGGGUGGCGAGUGGCGGACGGGUGAGGAAUGCAUCGGAAUCUACUCUGUCGUGGGGGAUAACGUAGGGAAACUUACGCUAAUACCGCAUACGACCUACGGGUGAAAGCAGGGGAUCUUCGGACCUUGCGCGAUUGAAUGAGCCGAUGCCCGAUUAGCUAGUUGGCGGGGUAAGAGCCCACCAAGGCGACGAUCGGUAGCUGGUCUGAGAGGAUGAUCAGCCACACUGGAACUGAGACACGGUCCAGACUCCUACGGGAGGCAGCAGUGGGGAAUAUUGGACAAUGGGCGCAAGCCUGAUCCAGCCAUACCGCGUGGGUGAAGAAGGCCUUCGGGUUGUAAAGCCCUUUUGUUGGGAAAGAAAAGCAGUCGGUUAAUACCCGAUUGUUCUGACGGUACCCAAAGAAUAAGCACCGGCUAACUUCGUGCCAGCAGCCGCGGUAAUACGAAGGGUGCAAGCGUUACUCGGAAUUACUGGGCGU